This 414-nucleotide long non-coding RNA is filed under the name Homo sapiens (human). RNAcentral describes it as "long non-coding RNA NONHSAT208907.1". The record is from RNAcentral. Lineage: Eukaryota; Metazoa; Chordata; Mammalia; Primates; Hominidae.
CUCAUUAUUCCCUCUUCGCUACCUCCUCUCUACAACCCCAUUCCAAAGCGACUGACCUUCAACAGAAUGUAUUUCUAUAAAGAUAAAAACAACGAAACUCCCAAGACGUCUAUAUUUGGAAUAUACAGGGAAAACUAGGUACCCUGUGGCCUAGCGAGAAGAUCGCAGAUGACAUGGGAGGCCUUCAUCUUCUGCAUCUGUCCGACCUUUUCAGCUCCUCUUCUGGUCACUCUGUCAAGGGGGCCUGGAACUCCUGAGAAGUGAAAGGACCAGCCCUAUCUCAGAUGGUGCGGGUUUCUUCGCCCUGACCUCUGCCAUGUUUGCUUGGAGCCCCAGAGCUCAUCCUUCAAGGCCUUUUUAAAAAUAGCACAGCCUCUGUCAAGCCUUCUUGAAAAAUUAAAUUUUUUAUUGUAA